Molecule: long non-coding RNA, 460 nt
Organism: Fukomys damarensis (Damara mole-rat)
Lineage: Eukaryota; Metazoa; Chordata; Mammalia; Rodentia; Bathyergidae
Exons: 3
Source: RefSeq, a predicted model, not a curated record
AGAUAAGUGUUUUUUUGUUUUGUUUUGUUUUUACUUAUAGUGUUCUGCUUAUCCAUGGUUUCCUCUUUCUCCCUAACCAUCGUAGCUGCAUGUCUAAAGCAUAAUUACUAGGAAGAAAUAAAACUAAUGCUAGCAUGACAUUUGGGGAAACAAAAGGACUGCAGCUGUUCAAUACCAGACCACCCGAGCCACCAAGUGAAAAAUCAAGGAAGGCUUCCCAGAGAGGCUGAUUUUCUAGAAAAGAGUUAAAUUGCUAAUUGGCACAAACACAUUGACUCAGGACCUUUAAUGCUGUGCUUUGCUGUCGGAGGUGACACCAUUAAGGAGUGGCAUGCAGGUUAGCAGUUUGCCACUGGAACCGGAAGGAUUCUGUGAAUAAUAAAAGGAGAACAGGGAGUGGAAGAUCAGUGAGCCAACUGAAGAACUGUGGUCCCCACUGUAUGUGAGGACAACUUCCACC